Callithrix jacchus (white-tufted-ear marmoset) is the source of this 2564-nucleotide long non-coding RNA. Lineage: Eukaryota; Metazoa; Chordata; Mammalia; Primates; Cebidae. The record is from Ensembl.
CCAAAUCUCAUUGUAUUUAAAUAUACUUUAUUUCCGCCUCACAGAAGCCCCGGGGACCCUACAGGCAUCUGUCUUCCAUUCUUAGUGAUGCAAGAUCCCCCAAAUCCCAUCAUCUCCUUUUUCUCCAUAGUAAGGGAAGAGACAGCUUGGAGUCCCCCACGGAUAAAUGAAUGCAUUCACCUGGAAAUAAUAUAUCAUUUCCACUCAUGUUCCACUGGCCAAAGAAUAUCAAGGGGAUGGAGAAUUUCAGUGACCACUCCCUUUUACCCCCACCACAAACUGAAGGAAGAGAAGAACUGGAACUACAGAGAUUCAUCAGUAUGUUGAUUCCCAAAACUGCAUGGUAAGUACAUGCAGAAAUGUAAUCAACCAAAUCAUUAGCAUUUAUAAAGAAGACAGUUUCAAAUUGAUGGGCAGUGCUGAAGAAACAUAUAAAUCUUUUCCUAAGUCUUAUUUGAAUUACAAUUGAAAUACUUUCUUUGAAUAUAACCAAAUGUAUUCUUACUCUUUUUUAAACAAAGAGGUCAACAUUCCCUAUUAGAAAAAAUAUCAUUUUGAAGCCUAAAUUUCAGAUUCAUAUGAAACAGCAAAUAUAUGUUUAAAAAGAUGCAGUCAUGUAUUUGUUUGACAUGUAUAAACAACAUUGUUUCAAACUGAUAUAUCGGUCUCUAAUCUUUGCUUGCACUGUGUUAUAAAGUUGAUGGUUAUACUUUAUUAGCAGGUAUUUUCAUUAGGGCCCUAGAAAAAGAAUUCCACUUAAAUAUUGUUUCUCUCUCUGAUAGUAAUCAGAAAUUACUAUUAUUACUGGAUCAAGGCACCUUUGUGUUAAUUAUUGUGCUUCCAUCUUUUUCACAUAAAAAGGUAAAUAUAAAAGUACAGUAUUGCCAGUUAGUGAUAAUAUUCUUGUUUUUCAGUUUAUUGGUAAUCAACACUAAAUUAUCUAAUCGUUUAUUUUUCUUAAAAGUUAGAUUGUGGUAUGCAAGCAUGUAGUUUCCCAAAAAGUCAUAAUUUACAUUUUAUUUCUCAGAUUUAAAACUCAGUUACUAAGAAAAAGAGCUAAAACCCUACUUUGAAAUGUGCUACAUUGUGAUUUAUUAAUAUCAUAUCAGUAUACACUAUGAAAAGAUUAUUAUACAUAUUUAUGCAAGUUUAUGAAAGCUUAUGAAACAUGACUCUUCUGUCUAAAUAUUUGCUGGUUUGUUUUCCAAAAAAAGCCCAGCAUCUUUCACGGACCAUUCUCCCAUUUUUUCCAUAUACAAUGAAACCUUACCUCAACCUAGAGUAAGACUUCCCUAUAAGUUGCUUAUAGCAGUUACUACAAGUUCACAGUUUCUUGCAAUAUUCCACAAGAAAAUGUCUUUAUGGUAAAUUCAGUCUACAUUUUAUUAUUUACUCUAUUUAUAUUUAAAAACCAGAAUAGAAAGGAAAGCCACCAUUAAAUGUCCAUGGUAAGUUUGUUAGAAGGCCAGUCUUCAAAUAUGUUUUAUUGUUCCCCACUAGUGAAAAGUUCUUGAGAGAAAAAGGGAUGGCAAGAAGUGAGAGUUUGUUAAUAGGUCAUAGAUGUAGGCUCUUUUUACAGAAAUCUGAAACACUGGGAUGAUGCAUGAAAAAUUAAGUCAUGCACAAAUGUUUCCAAUUACUCACUUGUUUGGCAUCACAUAGAGUGGACCAAGCAUGGAGAUUAAAGUCUACAUUUUUCACCCCAUUGUUGGCUGUGUUGUAGAAAUGACCUUAUAGGUCAUAUUGCUGAAUUCAUAGGUUUGCUUGCAGCUUGUAUAACUAUUCCUAUUAUACCAUUUCAGAAUCAAAUGAAACUAAGGAUUAAGUCAGUCAAUCCACAGAGACUUAUUAGAAUAAGGCAUUUAAAAUAUUUCAAGAUUGGGCAUGAGUAGAUAGGUGAGGAUGACUCAGAAUGGUGUAACUGAAUUAUUUUGUGAGGAAAGAGCUACCUUGGUCCUCCUCCAACCUUUAGAAGCUUUACAAAAUGAGUGUGAACUUUCAUGUGGUUAAUGUACUUUGAACAUACCAGGAAGAUCAAACCUUAGCCCACACAUGAUAAUUAAUUUUCUUACAACUUCAACUACUUAAAGACACCUCUUACAAUAUAUGGCCUCUAGAAUUAAUGCUCCAGUCACAUGUCAUUUUGUACCUUCAACUAGAACACUUACUACUGGCUUUUCCCCUCUUCUGCUUGAGACUGACAUCAUAUAAUGAAAGAUGAAGGAGCCAAUACGCUUCUUAAGAAGCAAGUAGUCAUGAGACUUCACCUGCCAACCCAGAUAGAAAAAAAGGGGGAGGGGGUAGUUAGCAAUUUCAAGAGCCACAAUUUACCAUGGAAGCCUCUACUUAAUAUUCCGCUUGAUCUGCCAAGUUUAUAGCCUGGCAAAUCUGAAUACAAAUGUCGAUGCAAAUGAGGAUUCAUUAUUCUUACAAGGUCUUUGUGUUGAAGCUUAAUGUAACUUGGUUCCUAUGGUUGCUCAGGGAACGUAGAUUGCAAGACAGAAAAAAUGAUGAAAAGAACAAAAAUAGAAAGGACAAUAAUAGAAAUAGAAGGAAAUGCUUAA